Molecule: ribosomal RNA, 465 nt
Filed under: uncultured bacterium
Lineage: Bacteria
Description: partial 16S ribosomal RNA
Rfam family: Bacterial small subunit ribosomal RNA
Source: RNAcentral
CCUACGUGUGGCUGCAGUGGGGAAUAUUGCGCAAUGGGCGAAAGCCUGACGCAGCGACGCCGCGUGAGGGAUGAAGGUCUUCGGAUCGUAAACCUCUGUCAGCAGGGAAGAACGGUCACUGUGCUAAUCAGCAGUGAAUUGACGGUACCUGCAAAGGAAGCACCGGCUAACUACGUGCCAGAAGCCGCGGUAAUACGGAGGGUGCGAGCGUUAAUAGGCAUUACUGGGUGUAAAGCGCUCGUAGGAGGUAUUGCAAGUCAAGGGUGAAAUCCCCGCGCUAAACGUGGGAACUGCCUUUGAAACUGGCAAACUGGAGUGUGUGAGAGGAUAGUGGAAGUCCAGGUGUAGGAGUGAAAUCCGUAGAUAUCUGGAGGAACAUCAGUGGCGAAGGCGACUAUCUGGCACAUAACUGACGCUGAGGAGCGAAAGCGUGGGUAGCAAACAGGAUUAGAUACCCGAGUAGUC